Gossypium raimondii (Peruvian cotton) is the source of this 139-nucleotide non-coding RNA. The record is from Rfam. NCBI's taxonomy places the organism in Eukaryota, Viridiplantae, Streptophyta, Magnoliopsida, Malvales, Malvaceae.
UAUUAAAAUUUUUAUCCACUAUUAAAAGCUAGUAUGGCUGAUGGAAUAAUCAGAUAGCUACAUGUAACGUGCUACGUUUACCUUAUGUUAAUGUAUAAAGACCAAAUUUUAAUAGUAGAAAUUGAUGAAAUUUUUAACA